AUUGGUGAUGUUAUUGUUGCUGUAAUCAAAGACGCAUUUCCCAAAAUGCCUCUAGAAAGAUUCGAAGUAAUUCGAGAUGUAAUUGUACGUACAUGUAAAGAGUUCAAAUGCGAAGACGGUAUAAUAAUCCGCUAUGAUGACAAUGUUGCGGUUAUAAUUGAUCAAAAAGGCAAUCCAAAAGGAACUCGACUACUUCGCUAUCGGUCACCCAGGAGUAUUUAG
RNAcentral lists this ribosomal RNA (222 nucleotides) under Triticum aestivum (bread wheat). Its description in RNAcentral is "partial small subunit ribosomal RNA". Lineage: Eukaryota; Viridiplantae; Streptophyta; Magnoliopsida; Poales; Poaceae. The record is from RNAcentral.